AGGAGGGUUUCAUCCAGACUGGACAAGCUUACAUCAGAAAUAAAGCUAGUGGAGAUCUGCACAGAUGCUCAUGCCCAGAUUGGUGCCCUUAUGAACCCAGACAAAGGCAAAUACAAGGCCCUUGGAAUUCAUCACAGUCUGGACAUGUGGCAUGGUGCAGAUAGUUGUGAACAUCUAUCUGCGAUUCAGAUCGACUGCAGACCUAGAGUCAUUCCAGAAUCAUAUCCUGAUGUAUGCCAGCAAGCGCUAUGCUUUCAGCCCCCCAGUUUAUGAGGCAAGAGUUCUGCUUGCUGCUUUGGACUACAAUUUCCACCGGAACAGACCAACAAUGAAAACGUUGGACGGC
Micropterus dolomieu (smallmouth bass) is the source of this 346-nucleotide long non-coding RNA. RefSeq lists it as uncharacterized. Lineage: Eukaryota; Metazoa; Chordata; Actinopteri; Centrarchiformes; Centrarchidae. The transcript is spliced from 3 exons. The record is from RefSeq and is a predicted model, not a curated record.